This is a long non-coding RNA of Dermochelys coriacea (leatherback sea turtle), 781 nucleotides long. RefSeq lists it as uncharacterized. NCBI's taxonomy places the organism in Eukaryota, Metazoa, Chordata, Testudines, Dermochelyidae. The transcript has 3 exons. The record is from RefSeq and is a predicted model, not a curated record.
AGAACUGCUUAAUGAAUGUACUGCCUUGUAAUACUCCACAGGGUAUACUUUAUUUUCUCUCUGUUACAGCUUUUGUCUCUGCAGAUAUUUCUAAAAGCUCAGUGUUAAGAAAGCAAAACUCAUACUGAUCAUGUAUGUUUAUUAGAAGCUGCUGGUCAUGGAGAACACCAGUGGCUUGAGUGAUUCAAACUUAUCUGGAUUUUUUACAGGGACAGCCACCAAGGAAUCCGUUAUGCCUCUCUUCCCAAGCUACCUGGCUCCCAUACAAGUUAGAGCUGCAAGGAGCAGCUCUAAUUUAUACUACAGAGACAACUUAUUUAAAUACAGUAUUGUGCUAUGAUUGAAAACUAAAAAUAUAACCUCCCCAUCCCCAGUGCCAUGAGAAAAUCAAGACUUUUUGCAUAAUGACUAGCUGUAUUGUAGUACCAAAAAAUGCUAUCUGGCACAGACCUCCAAUAAGCCUGGACUCAUGGAAUGUCAUUCUGGUACUUGAAAAGGAAAAGUACUGCAGUCAUUGCAAUACAACAUUUCUUCAAAAAGAAGAACAUGGAUCAGUUUAACAGUUUGCAAUGAUACCUGAAAAUUCUGUUCCUGAGUGAUCUGACAAAGCCUGGGAAUGUUGCAGAGGAAAUGCAUUCAACUUUGAAAGCUAAAGGCAAAAGGUAGAAGAGCGAUCCUUUCACUUUUCUAGUGUUAAACUGUUACUCUGACAAAUCAGGAUGGUGCUUUCAUAUGAGCUUGUCUACUGCAUGCAUGAGGAAGCAUGAAUAGUCUUCUUGGA